RNAcentral lists this ribosomal RNA (497 nucleotides) under uncultured bacterium. RNAcentral's name for it is "partial 16S ribosomal RNA". It matches the Rfam family "Bacterial small subunit ribosomal RNA", at positions 28 to 507 of the family's 1533-position model. The record is from RNAcentral.
GAUGAACGCUGGCGGCGUGCCUAAUACAUGCAAGUCGAGCGAACGGACGAGAAGCUUGCUUCUCUGAUGUUAGCGGCGGACGGGUGAGUAACACGUGGAUAACCUACCUAUAAGACUGGGAUAACUUCGGGAAACCGGAGCUAAUACCGGAUAAUAUUUUGAACCGCAUGGUUCAAAAGUGAAAGACGGUCUUGCUGUCACUUAUAGAUGGAUCCGCGCUGCAUUAGCUAGUUGGUAAGGUAACGGCUUACCAAGGCAACGAUGCAUAGCCGACCUGAGAGGGUGAUCGGCCACACUGGAACUGAGACACGGUCCAGACUCCUACGGGAGGCAGCAGUAGGGAAUCUUCCGCAAUGGGCGAAAGCCUGACGGAGCAACGCCGGGUGAGUGAUGAAGGUCUUCGGAUCGUAAAACUCUGUUAUUAGGGAAGAACAUAUGUGUAAGUAACUGUGCACAUCUUGACGGUACCUAAUCAGAAAGCCACGGCUAACUACGUG